GUAUCACAUAACUUCCAUUAUAAGCGGGAGAGCUGGAUGUGCUUGUUAGCACACCAUGCUAACAAGCGUAUCUAGCUCUCACAGGACAGACAUUGCUAGAGGCAGACUCAGUACAGCCCUUGCAAGGAAGAGUUACGAGCAAAAUGUUGUUAUAAAAUGGAAUCAAGCUAAAAUUGUUAAGCCUCUAAGAGAAGAUCUUGGUCUCAGCACUGCAGAAGCUAUUGAAAUAGAGAAAAGAAAAUGUCUUAUUCCAGUGGUCAAUGAUAACCAACCAGUAGACCUCCCAUCGGCUUGGGCUUGGUGUGCUAACAAGCAU
RNAcentral lists this long non-coding RNA (316 nucleotides) under Androctonus crassicauda. The record is from RNAcentral. Lineage: Eukaryota; Metazoa; Arthropoda; Arachnida; Scorpiones; Buthidae.